Molecule: transfer RNA, 69 nt
Filed under: Lythrurus fumeus (ribbon shiner)
Lineage: Eukaryota; Metazoa; Chordata; Actinopteri; Cypriniformes; Leuciscidae
Description: tRNA-Arg
Rfam family: tRNA
About the family: Transfer RNA (tRNA) molecules are approximately 80 nucleotides in length. Their secondary structure includes four short double-helical elements and three loops (D, anti-codon, and T loops).
Source: RNAcentral
AGGAGGCUAGUCUAAGAAAGACCUCUGAUUUCGGCUCAGAAGAUUGUGGUUUAAGUCCACGGCCCCCUU